GCGCAGCAGGCGCGAAACCUUCGCAAUGCAGGAAACUGCGACGAGGGAACUCCAAGUGCCUACGCUCAGCGUAGGCUGUUCUCAAGCCUAGAAAGCUUGAGGAGUAAGGGGCUGGGUAAGACGGGUGCCAUCUGUGGUAGGCAGUCAAUAGAUUCGAUUUGUUACUGCAAGGCAUAAGGCCGCCGCGGUAAUACCCGCAGCCCAAGUGGUGGCCGCUUUUAUUGGGCCUAAAGCGUCCGUAGCCGGCCCGGUAAAUGCCUGGGUAAAUCGUGGAGCCCAACUUCACGAAUUCCGGGUAGACUGCCGAGCUCGGGACCGGAAGACGGGAGAGGGGUACUUCAGGGGUAGGGGUGAAAAGUUUCCUUUCCAUUAACGCUUUUGCGCGAAGGCGGAAAGGGUUUAUCACAAGUCCCUGUAAUCCCUGGAGGGCCA
RNAcentral lists this ribosomal RNA (432 nucleotides) under uncultured microorganism. Its description in RNAcentral is "bacterial SSU rRNA". It matches the Rfam family "Archaeal small subunit ribosomal RNA", at positions 330 to 659 of the family's 1478-position model. The record is from RNAcentral.